RNAcentral lists this small RNA (518 nucleotides) under Pan troglodytes (chimpanzee). RNAcentral describes it as "retained intron". Lineage: Eukaryota; Metazoa; Chordata; Mammalia; Primates; Hominidae. The record is from RNAcentral.
UUUGGGCUGUAGGGAAAUGGUACUGCUGCUGUCCCUCAUUCCCUGAGAUGGGGUGAAGGAAGGGCACUCCCUGGGGAUAUGGGAAGUUGGGGCAUGAAGCCUUUCCUGUCCUCUAGGGAUCCUGAAACUCCGCCACAUCUGGAACCUGAAGUUGAUGCGUUGGUGAGGAGGAAUGGGCCCCUCGAAGUGGGCCGGGCCGGCCCCACCUGCCUCUGCCCAGAUUUGCCCUCCUCCUGCUCUGCCCAGGAGGUGGCGUCCAGCAGUCCAGGCAGGGCAUGGGGUGGGGCCCCGCAGGCCCUCCCCUGUGCCUCCCUUCUGCAUGCUGAUGCUGGGGGCAGGGUGGUGGAGCCGGGUGCAGGGGGCAGGACUAAUUGCAUCUGUCCCUGCUUAGGACCCCUGCAGCUGCAGACAUCUGCUUCACCAAGGAGCUACACUCCCACUUCUUCAGCUUGGGCAAGUGUGUGCCUGUGUGCCGAGGAGCAGAAUUUUUCCAAGCAGAGAAUGAGGGGAAAGGUGUU